UGUCCACAAUUUUAAAUAUGUUCAUGAGUUUAAAAAAUGUUAAUUAUUUUCAUUAAAUUGAGAGUGAUAGUGUAUCUCGGUGAUGCAGCAAUAUAUGAUCAGGUCGUUGAAGAUUAUGAUUUUUUUUCUCCCGUUGCAACGCAUGGGCCCUUUUGCUAGUACCAAAUACAUAUACCUAAUCUUUACCUAAUAUUAAUGGGAGGAAAGUUUCAUAGUUCUUCAUACAAUCAUACGUCAUUCUUUUAUAUCCAUUAAUUUUAUGUUAAUUAUAAAGAUUGAUGGCUAAGAUUUAAUUGAGUGGUCCUGCAAUCUUUUUUACGCCUCCUAUCCCGAUAAAAGAAAAACAGACGAGGAGAGCACGGACAAGUCUCCUUCUCCUGUACAGCCACUAUGAAUCUCGCGUCCACCAAUUUAAAUAUUAUAUAUACUUUCUCUUAAAAAGAUUAAAUAUUAUGCAAGCAAAAAGUUCAAAAAAAUUAUUAUACAAGCAAAUGGAAACAUCACGCACACGAUCCCUUUGUCCUUCGCACGCACGAAGACGCCACGUCGUCGUUGCUACUCCUCACCUCACCCCCUAGACCGGAAUCAAAGUCGUUGCCGAGGGAUGGAGGCCACAGGGAACGGUGGUGGAGAUCCGCCGUGACCUAGGCGGGCGAGCCACCAGGAGGGGAUCCAUGCCGGGUGGCCGGGGACGCGCCUCUCCCGUGAUCCCCUUUCUUCUCCAUGACGGCACAGUAGAUUACCAGCGACAGCAAGGCACGGCGAUGGCCGGUGGUGGAGAAGACAUUCAGCCUCUUCAGCUAUGCUGUCGACCACCGAGUAUUGACUACAAAUACUACUCACGGAAUAUCUUCAGGUGAAUUUGCUGGGCUUGAGCGAGGGGAAUGGAAUGGGAGACGACGACACAAGUGUUGAAGGCUAGGGAUUUGGGAGCCAAGGAUGUGACGACGUGGAAUGAGAUGGGGGACGACAGUGCAAGCGAGAUGUAGGAGGGUAAAAUUGGAAACCAACAAAAUUUCAUAACAUGACAAGAUUUGUAUGUGGAAGUCUAAAACA
Long non-coding RNA from Aegilops tauschii subsp. strangulata, 1056 nucleotides. RefSeq lists it as uncharacterized. Lineage: Eukaryota; Viridiplantae; Streptophyta; Magnoliopsida; Poales; Poaceae. The record is from RefSeq and is a predicted model, not a curated record.